RNAcentral lists this ribosomal RNA (253 nucleotides) under uncultured bacterium. RNAcentral describes it as "partial 16S ribosomal RNA". It matches the Rfam family "Bacterial small subunit ribosomal RNA", at positions 524 to 776 of the family's 1533-position model. The record is from RNAcentral.
UACGUAGGGGGCAAGCGUUGUCCGGAUUUAUUGGGCGUAAAGAGCGCGUAGGCGGUCCGGUAAGUCCGCUCUGAAAGUCCGGGGCUCAACCCCGGGAGGCGGGCGGAUACUGUCGGGCUAGAGUCCGGAAGAGGCGAGUGGAAUUCCUGGUGUAGCGGUGAAAUGCGCAGAUAUCAGGAGGAACACCAAUGGCGAAGGCAGCUCGCUGGGACGGUACUGACGCUGAGGCGCGAAAGCGUGGGGAGCAAACAGG